Musa acuminata subsp. malaccensis (wild Malaysian banana) is the source of this 1730-nucleotide non-coding RNA. Lineage: Eukaryota; Viridiplantae; Streptophyta; Magnoliopsida; Zingiberales; Musaceae. The record is from RefSeq and is a predicted model, not a curated record.
AUGGGGACGUCGCAGGGGCUGGAGCCGGAGCUGGUCUCGAUCCCGGCGAGCCCUGGGGGCCUCCACGCCGGAGGCGGUGACCCCGACGGGCCAGCGGUCGCGCGGUGGCGAAGGGGAGCCCGUCUCGGCCAAGUCGGGCACGGCAUCGCCGCGGUUCCUGAGCCCGUCGAUGUCUUCGGCGUUGGGGACGCCGAUGAAGCGCGUGCUGGUGAAUCUACGGGGCUACUUGGAGGAGGUGGGCCACCUGACGAAGCUCAACCCCCAGGACGCAUGGCUCCCCAUCACCGAGUCCCGCCACGGCAACGCCCACUACGCCGCAUUCCACAACCUCAACGCCGGCAUCGGCUUCCAGGCGCUCCUCCUCCCCGUCGCCUUCGCCUUCCUCGGAUGGAGUUGGGGGAUAAUAGCUCUGACCGUUGCCUACUUUUGGCAACUUUACACUCUCUGGAUUCUGGUUAAGCUACAUGAAGCUCUACCUGGUAGAAGAUACAAUCGAUAUGUGGAACUUGCACAGGCUGCAUUUGGAGAAAGGUUUGGUGUUUGGCUGGCUUUGUUCCCGACAAUAUACUUAUCAGCAGGGACUGCAGCAGCACUGAUUCUGAUCGGAGGGGAAACCUUGAAGCUCUUCUUCCAGAUAGUCUGUGGAUCUCUGUGUUCAUCGAACCCGCUUUCGACCGUGGAAUGGUAUCUAGUGUUUACGUUUCUGUGCAUCGUCCUGUCUCAGCUCCCAAAUCUCAACUCCAUCGCUGGCCUCUCUCUCAUCGGAGCUCUCACAGCAAUCACUUACACUUGCAUGGCUUGGCUACUCUCCGUUGGCCAAGAAAGGCCACCUUCCGUCUCUUAUCAGCCCCUGUCAUCCCCUUCCUUGGGGGCUGCAGCUUACUCGGUCUCGAAUGCUCUCGGCAUAAUAGCAUAUGCAUUCAGAGGACACAACCUUGCGUUGGAGAUUCAGGCAACGAUGCCGUCGACCUUCAAGCAUCCUGCUCAUGUUCCAAUGUGGAGAGGAGCCAAAGUCGCUUACCUGCUGAUAGCCAUGUGCUUCUUCCCCAUUGCCAUCGGAGGCUUCUGGGCGUAUGGAAACCUGAUGCCCGCAGGAGGAAUACUGAAUGCUCUAUACGCAUUUCACAGCCGUGAUAUCUCCAGGGGACUUCUGGCCACAACAUUUCUGUUGGUUGUGUUCCACUGCCUCACCAGUUUCCAGAUAUACUCCAUGCCGGUGUUCGACAGCUUCGAAGCGGGUUACACGAGUCGAACCAACCGGCCCUGCUCCAUUUGGGUCCGAUCCGGCUUCCGAGUCUUCUACGGCCUCAUCUCCUUCUUCGUCGGAGUGGCACUUCCCUUCCUCUCGAGCCUCGCUGGGCUGUUGGGUGGACUCUCUCUUCCGGUCACGUUUGCUUACCCUUGUUUCAUGUGGAUUCGCAUGAAGCAGCCUCCAAGGUUCAGCUUCGACUGGUAUCUCAACUGGAGCCUGGGCAUCGUCGGCAUGGCUUUCAGCUUAGCUUUCUCUGUAGGCGGUGUUUGGAGCAUGAUCAACAGCGGGAUCCAGCUUAAGUUCUUCAAGCCUAACUAAGCUCCAGUUACUUUGGAUGUUCGUCGCGGUAACUUCUGGUGUUUUAUCAUGUCGGACGUUUACUUUUGAUGAAGUCAGGCUUGAUAGAUUCUGCAUAAAACGUUAGAUGUAUUGAAAUCACUUCGCCUACCGCCGACCAGAAACAUGAUCCGUAAAUAUU